AAGAAGGGGGAUAAGAAUUAUUGAGCUUAAGAAGGAUUCAUCAAAGACGGACUUAUUUAUUGAAACAUGGGUUAUUGAACAUGUAUUUCAGAAGCACUUCAAAUGAAGACUAAAAAAGGAAGUGAUAAAAUAUGACCGCUCAGGUAACCGCUCAGGGUCAACAUUACUGUUGACGGUUUCACCAAGUAUAGAAACUUUCGACAUAUUCCAAGUUUCAUCACAGCAGUCCGCUUGUGGUAAUACAAAAGCAACACUAACCAAGAAGAGAGCCAAAUUAUGUGUUUUUAUUGAAUAGGUUAGAAAGAAGGGGGAUAAGAAUUAUUGAGCUUAAGAAGGAUUCAUCAAAGACGGACUUAUUUAUUGAAACAUGGGUUAUUGAACAUGUAUUUCAGAAGCACUUCAAAUGAAGACUAAAAAAGGAAGUGAUAAAAUAUGACCGCUCAGGUAACCGCUCAGGGUCAACAUUACUGUUGACGGUUUCAUCAAGGUGUCAAACUUUCAACAAGUUCUGAGUAUCAUCACAGCAGACAACUUUUUCAACUUCUUAAAAAAACCAAUAAACAAAAGGGAAAAAUUAAGUGUGUUUUU
RNAcentral lists this long non-coding RNA (588 nucleotides) under Solanum tuberosum (potato). RNAcentral describes it as "long non-coding RNA (STUB_LNC010403)". The record is from RNAcentral. Lineage: Eukaryota; Viridiplantae; Streptophyta; Magnoliopsida; Solanales; Solanaceae.